GUAAGCAACGUGCCCUGAAGAUCGGGAUAUACCGGGGAAACCCGGAGCAAUACCGGAUGUGGUCGCACCUCGGCAUCGAGGGGCGAUUAAAUGGUUUUUCGCUUCAGGGCGGCUUACGGCCUAUCAGCUAGUUGGUGAGGUAACGGCCCACCAAGGCUUCGACGGGUAACUGGUCUGAGAGGACGACCAGUCCGAGUGGGACUGAGACACGGCC
This 214-nucleotide ribosomal RNA is filed under the name uncultured bacterium. Its description in RNAcentral is "partial 16S ribosomal RNA". It matches the Rfam family "Bacterial small subunit ribosomal RNA", at positions 117 to 331 of the family's 1533-position model. The record is from RNAcentral.